This 492-nucleotide ribosomal RNA is filed under the name Megalybus nr. pictus SLW-2002. RNAcentral's name for it is "partial 16S ribosomal RNA". The record is from RNAcentral. Lineage: Eukaryota; Metazoa; Arthropoda; Insecta; Diptera; Acroceridae.
ACAAAAACAUGUCUUAUUGAUUUAAAUAUUAAGUCAGGCCUGCCCAAUGAUUUAAUUUAAUGGCUGCAGUAAUUUAACUGUACAAAGGUAGCAUAAUCAUUAGUUUUUUAAUUGAGGACUAGAAUGAAAGGUUUAAUGAAAUAUAAACUUUAUUAUAUUAAUUAAUAAAAUUUUAUUUUUUAAUUAAAAAGUUAAAAUUUUUAUAUUAGACGAGAAGACCCUAUAGAUUUUAAUAAUUUUGAUUAUAAUAAAUUUUAAGAAUUAAAUAAUUUUUUUUAUAAAAAUUAUUUUAUUGGGGUGAUAGUAUAAUUUAAUAAACUUUUAUAUAAAUAAACAUUAAUUUAUGAAUUUUUGAUCCAUUAUUGAUGAUUGAUAAAUUAAAUUACCUUAGGGAUAACAGCAUAAUUUAUUUGGAAAGUUCAAAUUGAUAAAUGAGAUUAUGACCUCGAUGUUGGAUUAAGAUAAAUUUUAGGAGCAUAAAAUUUAAAUAUU